AUGUCCUUAUUACCUUUCUGGGCCUUGGACAUGGCAUUGCCUUGCUGUCUAUGCAGAAUCAGAACGCAUUUCAUCAAAACUAUCUUAAUUUGUGUUCUGAAGAUGAACAAAGAUCUUAACGGUUUGGAACGAUGUGAGGCCUUUGUUCACAAUAUAAUAACAUCAGAAGAAAAAAGGCAGCCAUCAUGUGAUGAACCUGCAGAUCUCAUUUGUACGACGUCCAUCAGCUGUCAGAAAAGCUUGAAUGCUCUGAUGGUCUAGUGAAUUCAACUCACAAUCAGGAAAUAAAGGUAAUGAAAAAGGAUGAAAGAUUUCUGUGCAAGAUGGUGGAAUAGGAGGAGGUGAUGUCAUUCCUACUGUGAUCUAACAAUCAUUCUCAUCAUUUUCUUUUGUUGUUUCUCAUUCUCUCUGUUACAUACAAACAUUAUAAAACAUAACAGUGUUAAUAGAAUUACACAAAUAACAACACUGUGAAAAUUAACUUAAAGGGGUCAUCAGAUGAACAUUUUUCACAAGUUUAUAUAAAAAGUCUGUAACAUAGAUUAGUUAAAAUAUCUGUGAAACAAACACCCCUUUUACCUUGCCAAAAACAGCUCUUUUCAGAGCAAGAUGUUUUGUUGCAUGCCGACCCUGACCCUCUGCUGACCCCACCCCUUUCUUCGGAGCCGUUCUCUGAGAGAUUGUUUACUUUAGCCACAUUUAGCUGUGGAACUUGCUAACUAACAUGUUAUUAGGAAAGACGAUUUGCAAAGAUUCAUAAAAUAAAACCUUAUACUCACUUGUUCUGCAGGUGAAUCUGGAUCACAAAUGUUUUGCACAAAGAUAGUAGGGCUGCAUGAUUAAUCGAAUGCGAUUAUCAUGCACAUUUUGUCAGUAAAUCUCCAUCACAUGCUUUCAGAUGGAGCAGCAUUUACUGCUCAGAGCGUAGUUCACUGACAAGCUACGCAAAAAAAAAAAAAAAAACCCGCAGACAAUAUAAUCGCAAGAUUAUGUUAUUGAAGAUAUAAGAAAUUUUGCGAUAAUGAUAGCUGUUUGUGUAAAUGCUGCUCCAUCUGAAAGCAUGUCAAAAUACCACAUUUAAUAAAAUGUUUUUGCUCUAAACUCACAUCAUAACGUCAGUCGAGUGUUUUCAUUAUUACAUCCAACAACAAAGCACUUCAGUCACUUAGAAGUCACUCUUGUCUACAUCUGCUCCGGCAGUGAAACAAUGGCAGACUGAUGACAGCUCACUCAGGGCAGGUCUUUGAUAAAACCAAAGACUGAUGACACUGUCAAUCAACAAUCGUGGGUUAGGGUUGGGGUUAGAGUUAGGGUUAGAGUGGCCUUGACCAAUGUGAUGUCACACUGGCAGGAAUCUGAGAACGGCUUGAUUUGAGAAAGGGGUAAUGAUUUUAGGAGAUUAUAAAAAAAAAAACACUUUGUGGAUUUUUAUCAUUAUAGGGUGGUAUGUACACACACUGCCAACACACAUUUAUGUUCAAACAACAUGUAAAAGUGCAUUUCACAUCCGAUGACCCCUUUAAGAAGACAUGACUUCUCCAAGGCAACAACUAUUACAAGUAUUGCAUCUUUUUGAAUGGAAACAAGUAUCCUUGAAAUACACAGUGAAUAUAUUCUGGAUUUCUGCAGGAAACAGUUUAAGGAAAUGUUAUAUAUACUAGGGAUGUAACGAUUAACCGUGAGCCAGUUGAAAAAUCAAUUCAAAUAUGUGACGAUUCAAAUCAGUUGAGAUGCUAAACAAAUCACGAUUCAUUUAGGGCUAGGAAUUUAUAUGAAUGCAUGUCUGAGGGGAACUUACUGUCUUUAGAAAAGUUUAGAUGGUAUUUUUUCUUUUCAUCUUGCCUCUGUAUAAUGCAUAUUAAAGUUCAUAAGUGCAGUGCUACUUUGUUUGCUGGCAGAGAGUGAAUCUGCGUCUCGUUCAACUCCACUGUUUCAUGCAGAUAUUUUUAUGUAUAGUUUCACAAAACUGAAGUCAAACCAUUCUGUUCCUGCCUCAAAAUUUUAAAUUAUGCAAUCUAAUUUAAAUUAAAAACUGCUCAUGUUGCAUGUAUGCAGCAUCUUUGUUUGGAUCAUGAUUAAAAUGCAGUGGUUGCCUCUAAUUUAAAUGGAAAGAGCACAGACAAAGCCUUAUUUUGUUUAUAUGAAGAGAUUUAUUUUAUUUGUGUUAUUAUUUAUUUGAUUUGGGGCUUGUUUUAAAAUUUCAAGUUAGUUUUGUUGUUUACAUUUACAUUCUAUUAAAAUUUUGUCAUUUAGCAGAGCUUUUAUCCAAAGUGACUUAUCAAAACCAACAAAAGAGCAAUAAUAUGCUAUAUGCUAAGUACUAUAUUAGUAUAUUAUUAUAGUUAUAUUUCAAUUUCACAACGUAAUGUACAGCAUCUUGUCCAAGCAAUAAUAAAAACACACAUUUAUUUCAUUAAUAAAUUUCAUUAAAACAAACAAACAAAAAAAAGUGAAUCGAAUCGAGUUGAGUGAAUCGUUACC
Molecule: long non-coding RNA, 2481 nt
Organism: Cyprinus carpio carpio
Lineage: Eukaryota; Metazoa; Chordata; Actinopteri; Cypriniformes; Cyprinidae
Source: Ensembl